This is a long non-coding RNA of Salarias fasciatus (jewelled blenny), 160 nucleotides long. RefSeq lists it as uncharacterized. NCBI's taxonomy places the organism in Eukaryota, Metazoa, Chordata, Actinopteri, Blenniiformes, Blenniidae. The record is from RefSeq and is a predicted model, not a curated record. The transcript is spliced from 2 exons.
UCAGGGGAUUCCAUAGCGAGAAGAACCACCGGUAUCCAGGAGCGUCAGAGGACUGCUGUCAGCAGAGGACGUUUGCAGCCAUAAUCUCCUGCUGUUCUGAUCAACUGUGUUGCAGCUUCAAGCGCUUGACCAAAAACAGGGUUCUGCAUCAAAAGUAAAA